UCCCUAGUAGCUCAAUGGUGGAGCAAUCGGCUGUUAACCGAAAGGUUGUAGGUUCAAAUCCUACCUGGGGAG
This 72-nucleotide transfer RNA is filed under the name Pseudobryopsis hainanensis. Its description in RNAcentral is "tRNA-Asn". It matches the Rfam family "tRNA". From Rfam's summary of the family: Transfer RNA (tRNA) molecules are approximately 80 nucleotides in length. Lineage: Eukaryota; Viridiplantae; Chlorophyta; Ulvophyceae; Bryopsidales; Pseudobryopsidaceae. The record is from RNAcentral.